Molecule: long non-coding RNA, 2499 nt
Organism: Pezoporus flaviventris
Lineage: Eukaryota; Metazoa; Chordata; Aves; Psittaciformes; Psittacidae
Exons: 2
Source: RefSeq, a predicted model, not a curated record
UCCCUUGGUUUUCUGGAUCCAUAUGAAGAAGAGCUAAGGCUUUAGAUCAGGUUUUACACCUAUUCUAAAGAAAACAUUUCUGCCAAAGUUGUUUUUACCAACUGUGCAUGUGGCACAGGAAAGCUGGCAGGAAAUCAACAUGCAUCUUGCAGACACAUUAAAAUUGCUUUUGGAAAAGUACAGUGUGAGCAUAAAGCCAAAGUAAGUCUUUGUAGCUCUUACAGGGAGAGCCAUCUGUCCACAUGGGACAGGAUCAAUUUCAAAUUGAGCGUGCAGACAGUAAAUUACCUUGAGACUUUAUCUUCUAAUCUUCAGUUGAAGUAAAUGGACAGCAAUAGUGCAAGCAGUGCAAGACUGGGUCUUCAAAAGAAAAAACAGUUGGGAGUAUGCAUUGUUUAAGAUAAAUAUCUCAUAAAACAUGUGUUAUUUAAAUUAAAUAUUCUGGCAAAACUCUCUUUAAAAACCCAUAAAAGUGUUUAAUUCUUCCUGGAUAUAUGUUAAUGGUUACAGAUAAUUUCAAGUAUUAUGUGGGAUCAGAAAAAAAGGUACAAGAUCAGUGCUGGUCCCAAAAAUACUGCAAAGAGAUUACUUAUCAAAUAAUAUUUGGAUAAUAGAUAAACAUGUAAGAAGUUUAUGAUCUAACUCAUUGCAUUAGCAAGUGUUCAUAUGUUGGAUUUUUUCCUUUUCCAGCUAACUAAGAAUAAGAAAAUUAUGAUUAACUUUCAGGUAACAGAACAAUCUGGUUUAAAAACCCUCUCUUUAAAUGAUUUUACUUGGACAUCUAAUAAAAAUAUUGAUUCCAACCUCACAUAUUACAAACACUGGACAAGUUUAGAGUUACAAGUGAUCUAUUUUUCAAUGGUUUUAUGACAAUCACAUACUUCAAAGCAAAUUAAUGCUACAUCAGAUGAUACGGAAUGAGCAUCCUGUGCCUAAAUACAGAAAGGUUGGUCUAGUCAAGUGAUUUUUGUUAGCUUUGGAGCUUCACCAGUUUUCAGGAGAUGCACAGAUUUCUAGACAAUAUGCUCAUUUUUCUCAGUUAACUUCCCAGAAUGGCUUAGAUAGUGCCCAGAGACCACUCCUCCUCUCUGCUGCUACCUACUGUUGUGAUCAAUCACCUAUCAAAAUGCAAGAUUACCCAAAGCUAUAUUGUUCUGUCAGAGGAAUUUGUGAGUCUCCUGUCACUGGAUGUUUCUAAGAUAAAAAGGUCUGUGCCAAGGUUCACUACCCUUGUAGUCACAGGAUUUUCUCAUGUCUAACCUGACUGCAGUUUGAAUUAUUUCUGUUCAUCAGAGAUAUGAAGGACAGAUGCUUCUCUUCUGCUUUCCAAUGGCUUUUUACAUAUUUGAAGCUAGGGUUUUUUUGAAAUUGUGCAGUUGAUCAUUCCUGCCUAAGUAUUGUUCUUUGCCUUUGUCCUUACUGAAUUACGUCCCAAGUUUUUCUGACCAUUAUCCAGACUAAUUAGAAAUGAGUAGGCAAAAUGAGGUAGAAAUAGGUAGAAAUGAGUAGGCAAAAAAUUCAGUCCUUAACAACAGGCCAAACUGGGAGGUAGCUGGUUUAUCUCACACAAAACAGCACUAAGGUAGCAGGAACUGGACAUGAUAUUUGGUCAGUAGUGACCUUAGGCAGGAAGCAGUUGAGCCUCUGCUCAGCAUGUGUUCAUUAGGAAUCUAACUAUCCACUUCAUGAAAGUUGGUAAGAGGAGUAUUUCUACAGUAUGCAGCAAUUUCAAGUCUUUGAGUUUACAGUUUGAGAAAAAUUAUGGGCAGAAAAUUACUAUUGGUCUGGUAAAGUCAGGACUGAUAGUAUAAUUUUCUAUGGCUUUAUUUUUGUUUUGGUUUGAAUUCAUGUUAGCAUUAAAGGUAAAAAUACAAUUUAAACAGUGCUGGAAACUCCUUAUGUUAAAUAACCUCUAUACUCUGUAUACAGGUUGCUUAUAGUUAUGUAUAGAGGUUAAAUAACCUCUAUAGUCUGACCUUAGGUGGGGAAAGACAUAGUUGCUUCAAACAAAUUAGUAUUUCCUCACAAUGUUCUGUACUGACAAACACUGGAACCUCUAUGACAUACACAAUGUAAAUUAUGUGAAAAUACAAAAAUUAGCCAUUGUACAUACUGGUAAAUAAACGUAUUUACUGCAGAAUACCAGAAAGUUUCUUUUAAAAAAUUUACUUUGUAAAAACACAUUCUUCCAGGUUUAUCUGAAGCACCAUAUAGAUCUGAACAAAGUGAGAUGCCUGACUAAUCAAAACAGGUCAAGACAGUCUGGUGUGCAAACAAACAUGACAUAUUACAGGCAUUAUGAAAGAACAUGACUGGUUAAAUAUUAUCUCUCAAGAUUAAGGGUUUUGUUUCUCAAUUUUGAUAUUUCUCACCUUUUUACACACUAUAUAAUUUAAAGGAAAUCUAGACCACAACAUACUCACAUUCUAUUGUACAUCACUGGUUUAUUUAAGAAACGUGAAGAGAUUAAUUAGAGGAUGUUUACUUUGAGAAUAAAAA